CUGAUGGCGGCCGGCGUACGGGUGAGUAACGCGUAUCCAACCUGCCCUUUACUAUGGGACAGCCCGUCGAAAGGCGGAUUAAUACCGUAUGUUGUCAUGUUGAUGCAUAUUUUCAUGACCAAAGGCUUCGGCCGGUAAAGGAUGGGGAUGCGUCUGAUUAGCUUGCCGGCGGGGUAACGGCCCACCGGGGCGACGAUCAGUAGGGGUUCUGAGAGGAAGGUCCCCCACAUUGGAACUGAGACACGGUCCAAACUCCUACGGGAGGCAGCA
Molecule: ribosomal RNA, 270 nt
Filed under: uncultured bacterium
Lineage: Bacteria
Description: partial 16S ribosomal RNA
Rfam family: Bacterial small subunit ribosomal RNA
Source: RNAcentral